AUCACAAACAAGGCACACUGGAAUUGUAUCCUUUUUACCCAAUAUAAAACGUCAGUAUGAUGUUUGUUGACAUUAACAACUCUUGAUUGUAUUCAUAUUUUGGUAAAUUAACAUGAAAGUUAGAGGUAAAGCCUCGACAGUUCCGCAGUGCUCUGGACGUCCCGUUCCGAUCAACUCGCGAAGGGUCCAUCGCGCUCCAGUCCCUCUCCACAGACCGCGAGCCCCGGAAAGGAGGCAUCAGCAAGGAGCUCACGGUUUCCGGUAGCACGCUGUCUGUGAGGUGGAGGGCAGAUGAGGCCCGUAUCAAGUGUCUCUCUGUAGGGUCGUUUAUGGACCACCUCUUCCUGGUGAUGGAAACCAUGGAGUUGUUCGGACCACCUGUCCCUCAGUGACCACUCACACACUCAGCAGUCUCUGUUCUACAAUGACCUGCAGAGAACCAAGAGGAGCAGUGUUAUGCUGAACAGAGAGGUCUCUGGCCAACAGACCCAGCAGAAGCAUGCUGUGCACCUCGGUACAGAGCGACAUGUCCCACUUUCAAUCCUCUGCUAUUCAAAUUGAAGGAACUGGAUUCUCUAACACCAGUGCAACAUUUCUAUAGUUGUUGUGUUAGAAUGUGACUUAGAGCAGUGGGCCCGCAGGCCUAAGACAAAAAAAGACAACUGACACAUUCCCAUAAAGUAAACAUUUAUGUUUUACAGUGAAGAGAUAUGCAACAAAAGAUGACAGUUGAAGUAGGAGUUGUGUGAAAAUGUUCACGUAGAUAGAUGACUAAGGAUUUUUGCUCAUUGGUUGUUGGCAUGAAUGAGACAAAUCAUUUCUGUUACUAGAACACACAGCAACGCUAGUGGAUGGUGUAGAAUAGGAAGGCAAAUUUAAGACAGUGGAAUGGAAGAGAGGUGAUCAGUAGGACCAAAGAGGGGCACAGCCCAGUUAGGGCAGAGGAUAUAGGUCCAGUCCCAAACCCUCUUUCCCUAGACACUUCUAGAUAGCCUCCUGGUAGACCUGAGAAGUAGUGUAAGCAAUAUGACCAACUACUAUUUCACUAGCACCACACUGCUUACACAAAUCAGAUCAUUUUUGAUGUAUUAGGGGCCUUGCGGGGGCUAGGGUUUAAACUUGAGAUAAGCCCAUAGUGACUUGAGAUAAGCCCAUAGUGACUGCUCAUCUCAUGUCCUCAUUCCAUAAAA
Molecule: non-coding RNA, 1190 nt
Organism: Salmo salar (Atlantic salmon)
Lineage: Eukaryota; Metazoa; Chordata; Actinopteri; Salmoniformes; Salmonidae
Source: RefSeq, a predicted model, not a curated record